Long non-coding RNA from Manihot esculenta (cassava), 490 nucleotides. RefSeq lists it as uncharacterized. Lineage: Eukaryota; Viridiplantae; Streptophyta; Magnoliopsida; Malpighiales; Euphorbiaceae. The record is from RefSeq and is a predicted model, not a curated record. The transcript has 2 exons.
CACAAUGGGCCCUGAGCCCAUCCCAUUUUUCUAUGAAGGUGAGGGGACAAUCACAGGGAUUUCCAUGUGCGCCAUCAAUCAUGGUAGGUAAGUUAUCACUUCAGUCUUCAGAACGCACUGCGAGAACAAGAGCUGGAGUGACGACCCAGGAGGAUACUGAAGAAGAGCGACGCCGAAGUAGGUCUGUCAAUUAAUCCUGUUCAAAAAGUUACUCGGGCAUUCGACCAGACAGGAAUUGCAAAUCUUGCUCUUGUGGAUUGUGAUCAAGUACAAAAAUAUGCGGUUGAGAUUGAAAUAAUUGGAGGUCUUCGUUAUAUUAUAUUUAUAAUUUAGUUAGUUUUUUAACCUGGAAAAUAAGAUUGUUUGCUAUAUGCGAAGCUGUAAAGUUGAAAUAUUGUUUUUGUUGCUAACAUGUAUUAUUGCUUUAAAUAGUAUAUUUUUUACUUAGACCUAAUUCCCAUGUUUAAUACAAAAGAAGCAGUAAUUCUUA